UACGGAGGAUCCGAGCGUUAUCCGGAUUUACUGGGUUUAAAGGGUGCGUAGGCGGCCCUGCAAGUCAGCGGUGAAAUGUGGCGGCUCAACCGUUUCGCUGCCGCUGAUACUGUGGGGCUUGGAUGCGGUCGAGGCGGGUGGAAUUCGUGGUGUAGCGGUGAAAUGCAUAGAUAUCACGAGGAACGCCGAUAGCGAAGGCAGCUCGCCGGGCCGCGAUCGACGCUGAGGCACGAAAGCGUGGGGAUCAAACAGGAUUAGAUACCCUGGUAGUCCACGCCGUAAACGAUGAUGGCUGGGUGUGCGCCCGCGAGGGCGCGUGCCUGAGGGAAACCAUUAAGCCAUCCACCUGGGGAGUACGGCCGCAAGGCUGAA
This 372-nucleotide ribosomal RNA is filed under the name uncultured bacterium. Its description in RNAcentral is "bacterial SSU rRNA". It matches the Rfam family "Bacterial small subunit ribosomal RNA", at positions 524 to 898 of the family's 1533-position model. RNAcentral also lists the same sequence under 1 other name. The record is from RNAcentral.